GACGAACGCUGGCGGCGUGCCUAACACAUGCAAGUCGAACGGAAAGGCCCUGCUUUUGUGGGGUGCUCGAGUGGCGAACGGGUGAGUAACACGUGAGUAACCUGCCCUUGACUUUGGGAUAACUUCAGGAAACUGGGGCUAAUACCGGAUAGGAGCUCCUGCUGCAUGGUGGGGGUUGGAAAGUUUCGGCGGUUGGGGAUGGACUCGCGGCUUAUCAGCUUGUUGGUGGGGUAGUUGCUUACCAAGGCUUUGACGGGUAGCCGGCAUGGGAGGGUGGCCGGCCACAUUGGGACUGAGAUACGGCCCAGACUCCUACGGGAGGCAGCAGUGGGGAAUAUUGCACAAUGGGCGGAAGCCUGAUGCAGCAACGCCGCGUGCGGGAUGACGGCCUUCGGGUUGUAAACCGCUUUCGCCUGUGACGAAGCGUGAGUGACGGUAAUGGGUAAAGAAGCACCGGCUAACUACGUG
RNAcentral lists this ribosomal RNA (468 nucleotides) under uncultured bacterium. RNAcentral's name for it is "partial 16S ribosomal RNA". It matches the Rfam family "Bacterial small subunit ribosomal RNA", at positions 28 to 507 of the family's 1533-position model. The record is from RNAcentral.